This 74-nucleotide transfer RNA is filed under the name Weissella soli. It matches the Rfam family "tRNA". From Rfam's summary of the family: Transfer RNA (tRNA) molecules are approximately 80 nucleotides in length. Their secondary structure includes four short double-helical elements and three loops (D, anti-codon, and T loops). Further hydrogen bonds mediate the characteristic L-shaped molecular structure. tRNAs have two regions of fundamental functional importance: the anti-codon, which is responsible for specific mRNA codon recognition, and the 3' end, to which the tRNAs corresponding amino acid is attached (by aminoacyl-tRNA synthetases). tRNAs cope with the degeneracy of the genetic code in two manners: having more than one tRNA (with a specific anti-codon) for a particular amino acid; and 'wobble' base-pairing, i.e. permitting non-standard base-pairing at the 3rd anti-codon position. Lineage: Bacteria; Bacillati; Bacillota; Bacilli; Lactobacillales; Lactobacillaceae. The record is from Rfam by way of RNAcentral.
CGCGGGAUGGAGCAGUUUGGUAGCUCGUCGGGCCCAUAACCCGAAGGUCGCAGGUUCAAAUCCUGCUCCCGCAA